This 262-nucleotide signal recognition particle RNA is filed under the name Lachnospiraceae bacterium. Its description in RNAcentral is "signal recognition particle sRNA large type". It matches the Rfam family "Bacterial large signal recognition particle RNA". From Rfam's summary of the family: The signal recognition particle (SRP) is a universally conserved ribonucleoprotein involved in the co-translational targeting of proteins to membranes. Archaeal SRP consists of a 7S RNA and homologues of the eukaryotic SRP19 and SRP54 proteins. In most bacteria, the SRP consists of a 4.5S RNA and the Ffh protein (a homologue of the eukaryotic SRP54 protein). Lineage: Bacteria; Bacillati; Bacillota; Clostridia; Lachnospirales; Lachnospiraceae. The record is from RNAcentral.
CCGCGCAGCCGGGGAGAUAGCGGUGCCCUGUACCUGCAAUCCGCUACAGCAGGGGUGAUGGCGCGCCUAGGGUGAUGCUCUGUGGAGCCGCCCCCUGUAAGCGAUGUUGACGUUUGGGUCUUACGCAAUGGGAAUCUAUGAACCGUGUCAGGGCAGGAAUGCAGCAGCACUAAGUGGACACUUCCAUGUGCCGUGAGGGAGCCUGGACCGAGUUGGCUGCAGGGGUAACGUCUGUGGGGGUCAUUCGAAGCGGGUCGCGCGG